Molecule: long non-coding RNA, 225 nt
Filed under: Phasianus colchicus (ring-necked pheasant)
Lineage: Eukaryota; Metazoa; Chordata; Aves; Galliformes; Phasianidae
Description: lncRNA (ENSPCLG00000003796.1)
Source: RNAcentral
CAUUUACAGAAGGAAUAAUAUCAUCUGAGAACAUGACAGAAACUACUUUUUAAACACUGAGUGAAACACGCUUGUAGCAGCAAUUGAAUGUUUUGUUUCAGUAGCCCUGCAGAGGGCUGGAUCCUAAAAGUUCCUGAACAUCAAUUCCUCUUGAGAGCAUGGGGAAUGGAAGGCACUCAACAUUUCUUCAGUUACAGCCACGGAAAGGACAUAGCGAUGAAGUAG